RNAcentral lists this ribosomal RNA (490 nucleotides) under uncultured bacterium. RNAcentral's name for it is "partial 16S ribosomal RNA". It matches the Rfam family "Bacterial small subunit ribosomal RNA", at positions 30 to 507 of the family's 1533-position model. The record is from RNAcentral.
AUUGAACGCUGGCGGCAGGCCUAACACAUGCAAGUCGAACGGUAACAGGAAGCAGCUUGCUGCUUUGCUGACGAGUGGCGGACGGGUGAGUAAUGUCUGGGAAACUGCCUGAUGGAGGGGGAUAACUACUGGAAACGGUAGCUAAUACCGCAUAACGUCGCAAGACCAAAGAGGGGGACCUUCGGGCCUCUUGCCAUCGGAUGUGCCCAGAUGGGAUUAGCUUGUUGGUGGGGUAACGGCUCACCAAGGCGACGAUCCCUAGCUGGUCUCAGAGGAUGACCAGCCACACUGGAACUGAUGCACGGUCCAGACUCCUACGGGAGGCAGCAGUGGGGAAUAUUGCACAAUGGGCGCAAGCCUGAUGCAGCCAUGCCGCGUGUAUGAAGAAGGCCUUCGGGUUGUAAAGUACUUUCAGCGGGGAGGAAGGGAGUAAAGUUAAUACCUUUACUCAUUGACGUUACCCGCAGAAGAAGCACCGGCUAACUCCGUG